This 1340-nucleotide long non-coding RNA is filed under the name Capsicum annuum. RNAcentral describes it as "long non-coding RNA (CANN_LNC022107)". Lineage: Eukaryota; Viridiplantae; Streptophyta; Magnoliopsida; Solanales; Solanaceae. The record is from RNAcentral.
CUGUUUAUUCCCCAAAUACUCCUAUACAUAUAGGCUUCUUCCUUGAAAACAGAUACAGAUGAGAAAAACAAAAUAAUACAGCAACUAUGAACAUCAACAAAAUCCAAAAGGAGGUUUUAGUUUGUGAAUCUGUACUCUAUUUCCUAGAGAGACGAAAAUUGACUUAGGGCGAUUGUGUCAUAGCAAAUUCAACACUUUCGCUGCAACAGAUUGAGGUACAUACACUGUAUUUUUUUCUCUGAAUUUUCUAUCAAUGGCAUCAGAGACAGGUUUAAAAGCCCCUAUCUCGAUCAAAUAUGAAUGAUUCAUAUUCUUAUAAAAAAAUAUAUUGAAAUUGAAUGUUGCUUUACCUGUUAGAAAUAAAUCACGGAUAAAGAUCGAAGUUUAGACCCGACUUGAAUCAACAAUUUUACCUUCUAUUCUGGAAGAAGAUUAGAAAGUUAUAAGAUCGGAUCUGAAAUUUUAAUUUCAGUUUCAUUUUUUUUUCUUUUCUUGUUCGGAUGAAUCUGAUAUAUAAAAGAAUAGGAUAGGUGUCGAAAAAAAGGGUUCGUAUGAGUUGUUACUGCCCAUGCACAGUUUGUAGGUGAAAAAAGUACCUAAAUUAUGCUAUUUGAUAAAUGUGUGUGCUGUGCUAUUCAAGGGCAGUGGAAGUUUGUGAAAGUGUUGUAAUGUGCACUUUAAUAAUAAUAAAAAAUCCUGAUCCUUAUUAUUAUUAGUGUUUAUGAAAAUAGAUAAAGUGCUGUGCAUUGCAUUUUAGUCACUUAGUUAAAAAAAAGUGUAGUAAUUUACAUAAAAUUUCUUUUGGGAUUUCUGUUUUUUUUGGUAAUUAACAUGAAAAUAUCCUAUAAAGGUGGCAUAGUGAAUCCUUUUAAAAUUUUAAAUAAAUAAGUGGUUGAAUUAGAAUUGAAUUUCCUUUCGCCUUAAUUAGUCCAUAAUAAUUUUAACAGGUUUUGUCUUCUAUGAUGAAUUGUGACAUAAGUGUCACAUUGAGUGGUAAAUCCAUUCUUAUUGUUUCUUGAUUCCUAUUUCAGAAAUGACUGAACAAGGACAAACUCGAAUCACUCCAAGUGGGAGUUCUGGAUAUCGAGCAAAGAGACAAGGUAGAAGAGCACGUUGUCGAAGGACAUGUUUUCGAGGUCAUGAGAUCAUACGAAAUGGUGUCCCCAGGGCGACACAAAAUCUGUUACGGAAUGAACGGCCUAUACGAAGGGAAAGAUAAAAGAAAUUGAAAGAGUUCAAGUCUUUUAAGAUGUCACCUAACAUUAGUGUUGCUAGUUUUAUACAUCUGUUUGAAAUGAAACGUGUAGAAUAAGAAAACUAUGUAGAAAUCUCGGAUUGGG